UACGGAGGGUGCAAGCGUUGUUCGGAUUUAUUGGGCGUAAAGGGCGUGUAGGCGGUUCGUUAAGUCUGAUGUGAAAGCCCCGGGCUCAACCCGGGAAGUGCAUUGGAAACUGGCGAACUUGAGUACGGGAGAGGGCAGUGGAAUUCCUAGUGUAGGAGUGAAAUCCGUAGACAUUAGGAGGAACACCGGUGGCGAAGGCGGCUGCCUGGACCGAUACUGACGCUGAGACGCGAAAGCGUGGGGAGCAAACGGG
RNAcentral lists this ribosomal RNA (253 nucleotides) under uncultured bacterium. Its description in RNAcentral is "partial 16S ribosomal RNA". It matches the Rfam family "Bacterial small subunit ribosomal RNA", at positions 524 to 776 of the family's 1533-position model. The record is from RNAcentral.